RNAcentral lists this ribosomal RNA (1371 nucleotides) under Ocinara albicollis. RNAcentral's name for it is "16S ribosomal RNA". The stretch from base 1088 to 1247 matches the Rfam family "Eukaryotic large subunit ribosomal RNA", at positions 2825 to 2984 of the family's 3401-position model. Lineage: Eukaryota; Metazoa; Arthropoda; Insecta; Lepidoptera; Bombycidae. The record is from RNAcentral.
GGGGGAUUAAUUAAUAAUUUUAUUAAUUAAUAAAAGAAUUUUUUGUAUAAAAAUAUUUUAAUUGGGGGGUUAAAGUAUUUUUAAAAAAAAAAUUGAAAAUUUUAUAGUUUAUUUAGUAUUGUGAAAGAAUUUUGAAAUAAUUGAAAAUUAAUUUUUUUAAAAGUAAAUUUGAUUUAUUGUAUCUUGUGUAUCAGAGUUUAUUAAUAAUAAAUUAAUUAAAAAUAGUUUUCUCGAAUUUAAAAGAGUUAAUUAAUUAUAAAAGUUAUUGUGGUAUAAAUAUUUUUAAUAAUUAAUUUAGAAAUGAAAUGUUAUUCGUUUUUAAAUAUAUCUAGUUUUUACAGAAAAAAAUUUAAUUUUUAAUAAUUUUAAUAUUAAUAUUAAUUAAAAUUAAUAUUUAUAAAUUUUAUUAAAAUAAUUUAAGGGAUAAUCUUUAAAUUAAAUUUUUAUAAUUUAAAAUUAUAAUUAAAAAUUUUUAUAAUUUAUAUUGUUAAUAAAUUUUAGUUUAUUAUAAAUAAUUUUAAUAAAAUUAAAAUUUAAUUUUUAAUUUAAUUUUAUAUGUAAAAAUAAAUUUAAAUAAAAAAAAUUAAAAUAUAAUGAUAAAAUUAGUAAAAUAAAUUAAUUAUAAAUAAUUAAUAUUUAUUUAUUAAAGUAAUUAUAAAAAAGGAAUUCGGCAAAAAUUUAUAUUCACUUGUUUAUCAAAAACAUGUCUUCUUGUUAAUAAUUUAAAGUCUAAUCUGCCCACUGAUAAUAAUUAAAGGGCUGCAGUAAUUUGACUGUACAAAGGUAGCAUAAUCAUUAGUCUCUUAAUUGGUGACUUGUAUGAAAGAUUGGAUGAGAUAUAUACUGUCUCUUUUAUAAAUUAUUUGAAUUUAAUUUUUUAAUUAAAAAGUUAAAAUUUUUUAAAAAGACGAGAAGACCCUAUAGAGUUUUAUAAUUUAUUUUAUUAAAAUUUUUUUUUAUAUUAUAAUAAAAUUAAUUUAUUUUAUUGGGGUGAUAAAAAAAUUAAUUAAACUUUUUUUUUAAUUUAACAUUGAUAAUUGAAAUUUUUGAUCCAAUUUUAUUGAUUAUAAGAAAAAAUUACCUUAGGGAUAACAGCGUAAUUUUUUUUUUUAGUUCAAAUAAAAAAUAAAGUUUGCGACCUCGAUGUUGGAUUAAGAUAAAAUUUAAAUGUAGAAGUUUAAAAUUUUUGAUCUGUUCGAUCAUUAAAAUCUUACAUGAUCUGAGUUCAAACCGGUGUGAGCCAGGUUGGUUUCUAUCUUUUAAUAAAUAAAAUAUUUUAGUACGAAAGGAUUAAAUAUUUUAAUUAAAUUAAAAAAAAAAUAAUUGAAUUUUAAUAAUAAAAUAGUAAUUUAAAUUUUUAUAUAAAAUAAU